This 205-nucleotide long non-coding RNA is filed under the name Elaeis guineensis (African oil palm). Its description in RNAcentral is "long non-coding RNA (EGUI_LNC024232)". Lineage: Eukaryota; Viridiplantae; Streptophyta; Magnoliopsida; Arecales; Arecaceae. The record is from RNAcentral.
CCAUCAUGAAUAAUUGGAAAAACUUAGCUUAUAAAAUUAUGUACUUUUGUUAAGUAUCUUGUGCAUCUAUAAUUAUUUUUAUGUAAAAUUUUGUGAUAUGCUCCGAUUGCUCCAGUCAUUCUGCAAAAAUACAAGCCAUCAAUUUUAAAAAAUAUUGUCCGACAGACAACAAAUCUUUAGUCCUCCUUGUAUCCUUAGUAAAGCA